Molecule: ribosomal RNA, 458 nt
Filed under: uncultured bacterium
Lineage: Bacteria
Description: partial 16S ribosomal RNA
Rfam family: Bacterial small subunit ribosomal RNA
Source: RNAcentral
CCUACGGGCGGCAGCAGUGGGGAAUAUUGCACAAUGGGGGAAACCCUGAUGCAGCGACGCCGCGUGAGUGAAGAAGUAAUUCGUUACGUAAAGCUCUAUCAGCAGGGAAGAAAUACUGACCUUACGGUCAGCAGACGGUACCUGAGUAAGAAGCCCCGGCUAACUACGUGCCAGCAGCCGCGGUAAUACGUAGGGGGCAAGCGUUAUUCGGAUUUGCUGGGUUUAAAGGGAGCGUAGGCGGUGCGGCAAGUCUGGAGUGAAAUGCCGCAGCUUAACUGCGGAACUGCUUUGGAAACUGGCGAACUAGAGUGCGGGAGGGGUAAGCGGAAUUCCUAGUGUAGCGGUGAAAUGCGUAGAUAUUAGGAGGAACACCGGUGGCGAAGGCGGCUUACUGGACCGUAACUGACGUUGAGGCUCGAAAGCGUGGGGAGCAAACAGGAUUAGAUACCCGGGUAGUC